GUGGGGAAUAUUGGACAAUGGGCGAAAGCCUGAUCCAGCGACGCCGCGUGGGUGAAGAAGGCCUGCGGGUUGUAAAGCCCUUUCGGUAGGGACGAAAGCUCUUGCCCCAAUACGGCAGGAGGUUGACUUAACCUACAUAAGAAGCACCGGCUAACUCUGUGCCAGCAGCCGCGGUAAUACAGAGGGUGCGAGCGUUAAUCGGAAUUACUGGGCGUAAAGCGCACGUAGUCGGCUUUGCAAGUCGGGUGUGAAAUCCCCGGGCUCAACCUGGGAACUGCAUCCGAGACUGCAUUGCUAGAGUAUGGGAGAGGGAAGCGGAAUUUCUGGUGUAGCAGUGAAAUGCGUAGAUAUCAGAAGGAACAUCAGUGGCGAAGGCGGCUUCCUGGACCAAUACUGACGAUCAGGUGCGAAAGCGUGGGGAGCAAACAGGAUUAGAUACCCUUGUAGUCC
Molecule: ribosomal RNA, 450 nt
Filed under: uncultured bacterium
Lineage: Bacteria
Description: bacterial SSU rRNA
Rfam family: Bacterial small subunit ribosomal RNA
Source: RNAcentral